GCGGUCGUGGCGGAAUUGGUAGACGCUUAGCGUUGAGGUCGCUAUGGGGGAAACCCCGUGGAAGUUCAAGUCUUCUCGACCGCACCA
This 87-nucleotide transfer RNA is filed under the name Holosporaceae bacterium. Its description in RNAcentral is "tRNA-Leu". It matches the Rfam family "tRNA". Rfam says of the family: Transfer RNA (tRNA) molecules are approximately 80 nucleotides in length. The record is from RNAcentral. Lineage: Bacteria; Pseudomonadati; Pseudomonadota; Alphaproteobacteria; Holosporales; Holosporaceae.